UUUGUUUUUUUUUUUGACAGUCCACUCUUGGAUAACAUUUUAUUGCUUUUUAUCACAAACAAUGGAUAAAACUUGUUAAAACAAUAGAUGUUGUUUGGUUGUUAGCUGAUAUCAAUUAUCCGACAUUUGUUGCUCCAAUGCUCGAUUUUGUGGUACUGUACUUGCAAUUAAUUAAUUAAUUAUAUAGGUGUGGGUGUGUGUGUGUGAGA
Drosophila navojoa is the source of this 209-nucleotide long non-coding RNA. Lineage: Eukaryota; Metazoa; Arthropoda; Insecta; Diptera; Drosophilidae. The record is from RefSeq and is a predicted model, not a curated record.